GCUAUAAAGUGGUGAACAUGUCAAGAUCUCCCCAUCCUCAUGGAGCUGACCUUCUAGUAGGAAAGACAAUGACUAGACAACCAUCUGCCAGGAAGUCAGGUCAAGGUUACGGCUGCAGGAUGGACGGGAGGACAGACCAGAACUGAAUGGCCA
Lynx canadensis (Canada lynx) is the source of this 153-nucleotide long non-coding RNA. RefSeq lists it as uncharacterized. NCBI's taxonomy places the organism in Eukaryota, Metazoa, Chordata, Mammalia, Carnivora, Felidae. The transcript is spliced from 2 exons. The record is from RefSeq and is a predicted model, not a curated record.